RNAcentral lists this non-coding RNA (537 nucleotides) under Aeromonas salmonicida subsp. salmonicida. The record is from RNAcentral. Lineage: Bacteria; Pseudomonadati; Pseudomonadota; Gammaproteobacteria; Aeromonadales; Aeromonadaceae.
AAACAAAAAACCCACCGUAAGGUGGGUUCUUUGCCCGGAUAUCUUCGGUUUGGCGACCUUAGAACCCGGUGGGUAACAGCUUCGAGCAGGAAGCGGAUACCGUUAAGUACCCCCUCAGUUUAGCCGUGUGCGGCCCACUGUUCAAGUAUCAAACCCCUGCUCGAACCCUGUUACCAAAGGCUUUCACCUUUGGCGCUUUGUCGUAUUCGCUCGGAUUGGCAAGCAAGUGAUUGUUGCCGUAGCGGGUGUGAAGGUCGGGCAGAACGGGGAAAUCUCACAUACUGCCCAAGCGUGCAAUCGCGCACCACAGCCUCCCAGGGCUCGCAACCCUGGGGCAUCUGCAAGUAGAGCGUAACGGGGAACCAACCACGGCCAGCUCUUAAAAAACGGCGCGGCAGCCCGACCAACAGGCGGGGGCUAAAGCAGAGUGCAGCGGGACGGGGUGUGUUCUCUGGAGCGCGUGAGAGGGAGCUGCCGCAAGCAGUCUCGAUAGUCCGGAGCAAGGCGAGCUUAUCCUGUAAAAGACCCUAAAACGAU